AGAAACCGAGAUUAAAUGAAAAGACGAGAAAAGGAAAAUAACAUUCCAUGGAAAAAUGCUACCAAAAGGAAAUCAAGUUCUUCUCACCCAAAACAAAAGAAAUCACAAACAAAAAACAAAACACAAAUGCGCACAAAAAAUAACACAAAUCAACAAAUAAUACCAACACAUAACAGAGAUAAUGAAAAUUGCGAUAUAGCAGACAAAAGGGAAUACGAAGUAAACUUAGAUAAGAAGUACUUCCUCAUAAACUUCUCUUGCUUCCGAGAAACCUGAAAAAUCCAGUGAUAUGCUUAGAAAUGCUUGCCAAAGAAACCAAGAUCACAUGAAAAGACCAGAAAUGGAAAUUACACUAUUCUCACCCACAAAGAAAGAAAUGAGAAAUAAAAAAUGAAACGUAAAGCGCACAAACCAAAACAUAAUGAACAUAUUCGAACUUAAUUCAAUAAUGCAUAGAUCAAGUCAACAAAUCAUACCCAAACAUAACAAAUAUAUUGAACAAUGCGAUAUAUGAAAGAACAGGGAAUACGAAGAAAACUUAUCUAAGAAGACUUUCCUCACACACUUCUCCUGCUCCCGAGAAUCCUGAAAAAUCCACUUAUAUGCUUAUUAAUGGUGGGACAAGACACCGAGAUCAGAUAAUAAGACGAGAAAAUAAAAAUAACAUCCCAUGGAAAAACACAGUUCAAAGGAAAUCAAAUACUUCUAUCAAACAAUCAAAUAAAUGACAAAUAAAAAGCCACAUAUAAAACCAACAACCAAACACUGAAAUCAAAAUAUUCUAAAUAAAUUGUAUAACGCUUACAUAAAGUCAAAAAAUAAUACCCAAACAUAACAGACAUAACGAACGAUGUGAUUUGGGAGAAUUUGAACGAAACUUACAUAAAAAGUACUUCUUCAUACACUUCACCUGGUCCCGAUUAACCUGAAAAUAUGAAGUUAUACGGUUAUAAAUUGUGGGCAAAGAAACCGAGAUUAAAUGAAAAGACGAGAAAAGCACAAUAACAUUCCAUGGCAAAAUGCUACCAAAAGGAAAUCAAGUUCUUCUCACCCAAAAUCAAACAAAUCACAAACAAAAAACAAAACACAAAUGCGCACAAAAAAUAACACAAAUAAACAAAUAAUACCAACACAUAACAGAAAUAAUGAAAAUUGCGAUAUAGCAGACAAAAUGGAAUACGAAGUACUUCCUCAUAAACUUCUCUUGCUUCCAAGAAACCUGAAAAAUCCAGUGAUAUGCUUAGAAAUGCUUGCCAAAGAAGCCGAGAUCACAUGAAAAGACCAGAAAAAUACAAAUUACACUAUUCUCACCCACAAAGAAAGAAAUGAGAAAUAAAAAAUGAAACGUAAAGCGCACAAACCAAAACAUAAUGAACAUAUUCGAACUUAAUUCAAUAAUGCAUAGAUCAAGUCAACAAAUCAUACCCAAACAUAACAGAUAUAUUGAACAAUGCG
Molecule: long non-coding RNA, 1455 nt
Filed under: Vitis vinifera (wine grape)
Lineage: Eukaryota; Viridiplantae; Streptophyta; Magnoliopsida; Vitales; Vitaceae
Description: long non-coding RNA (VVIN_LNC005328)
Source: RNAcentral